This 393-nucleotide ribosomal RNA is filed under the name uncultured bacterium. RNAcentral's name for it is "partial 16S ribosomal RNA". It matches the Rfam family "Bacterial small subunit ribosomal RNA", at positions 523 to 918 of the family's 1533-position model. The record is from RNAcentral.
AUACGGAGGAUCCGAGCGUUAUCCGGAUUUAUUGGGUUUAAAGGGAGCGUAGGCGGACGCUUAAGUCAGUUGUGAAAGUUUGCGGCUCAACCGUAAAAUUGCAGUUGAUACUGGGUGUCUUGAGUACAGUAGAGGCAGGCGGAAUUCGUGGUGUAGCGGUGAAAUGCUUAGAUAUCACGAAGAACUCCGAUUGCGAAGGCAGCCUGCUGGACUGUAACUGACGCUGAUGCUCGAAAGUGUGGGUAUCAAACAGGAUUAGAUACCCUGGUAGUCCGCACAGUAAACGAUGAAUACUCGCUGUUUGCGAUACACUGUAAGCGGCCAAGCGAAAGCGUUAAGUAUUCCACCUGGGGAGUACGCCGGCAACGGUGAAACUCAAAGGAAUUGACGGGG